This 2241-nucleotide ribosomal RNA is filed under the name Salmonella enterica subsp. enterica serovar Newport. RNAcentral's name for it is "partial 23S ribosomal RNA". It matches the Rfam family "Bacterial large subunit ribosomal RNA", at positions 711 to 2925 of the family's 2925-position model. The record is from RNAcentral. Lineage: Bacteria; Pseudomonadati; Pseudomonadota; Gammaproteobacteria; Enterobacterales; Enterobacteriaceae.
AGACCCGAAACCCGGUGAUCUAGCCAUGGGCAGGUUGAAGGUUGGGUAACACUAACUGGAGGACCGAACCGACUAAUGUUGAAAAAUUAGCGGAUGACCUGUGGCUGGGGGUGAAAGGCCAAUCAAACCGGGAGAUAGCUGGUUCUCCCCGAAAGCUAUUUAGGUAGCGCCUCGUGAAUUCAUCUCCGGGGGUAGAGCACUGUUUCGGCUAGGGGGCCAUCCCGGCUUACCAACCCGAUGCAAACUGCGAAUACCGGAGAAUGUUAUCACGGGAGACACACGGCGGGUGCUAACGUCCGUCGUGAAGAGGGAAACAACCCAGACCGCCAGCUAAGGUCCCAAAGUCAUGGUUAAGUGGGAAACGAUGUGGGAAGGCCCAGACAGCCAGGAUGUUGGCUUAGAAGCAGCCAUCAUUUAAAGAAAGCGUAAUAGCUCACUGGUCGAGUCGGCCUGCGCGGAAGAUGUAACGGGGCUAAACCAUGCACCGAAGCUGCGGCAGCGACACUGUGUGUUGUUGGGUAGGGGAGCGUUCUGUAAGCCUGCGAAGGUGGCCUGUGAGGGUUGCUGGAGGUAUCAGAAGUGCGAAUGCUGACAUAAGUAACGAUAAAGCGGGUGAAAAGCCCGCUCGCCGGAAGACCAAGGGUUCCUGUCCAACGUUAAUCGGGGCAGGGUGAGUCGACCCCUAAGGCGAGGCCGAAAGGCGUAGUCGAUGGGAAACGGGUUAAUAUUCCCGUACUUGGUGUUACUGCGAAGGGGGGACGGAGAAGGCUAUGUUGGCCGGGCGACGGUUGUCCCGGUUUAAGCGUGUAGGUGUGUGUUCCAGGUAAAUCCGGUUCACUUUAACACUGAGGCGUGAUGACGAGGCACUACGGUGCUGAAGCAACAAAUGCCCUGCUUCCAGGAAAAGCCUCUAAGCAUCAGGUAACAUCAAAUCGUACCCCAAACCGACACAGGUGGUCAGGUAGAGAAUACCAAGGCGCUUGAGAGAACUCGGGUGAAGGAACUAGGCAAAAUGGUGCCGUAACUUCGGGAGAAGGCACGCUGACACGUAGGUGAAGUGAUUUACUCAUGGAGCUGAAGUCAGUCGAAGAUACCAGCUGGCUGCAACUGUUUAUUAAAAACACAGCACUGUGCAAACACGAAAGUGGACGUAUACGGUGUGACGCCUGCCCGGUGCCGGAAGGUUAAUUGAUGGGGUCAGCGCAAGCGAAGCUCCUGAUCGAAGCCCCGGUAAACGGCGGCCGUAACUAUAACGGUCCUAAGGUAGCGAAAUUCCUUGUCGGGUAAGUUCCGACCUGCACGAAUGGCGUAAUGAUGGCCAGGCUGUCUCCACCCGAGACUCAGUGAAAUUGAACUCGCUGUGAAGAUGCAGUGUACCCGCGGCAAGACGGAAAGACCCCGUGAACCUUUACUAUAGCUUGACACUGAACAUUGAGCCUUGAUGUGUAGGAUAGGUGGGAGGCUUUGAAGUGUGGACGCCAGUCUGCAUGGAGCCGACCUUGAAAUACCACCCUUUAAUGUUUGAUGUUCUAACGUGGACCCGUAAUCCGGGUUGCGGACAGUGUCUGGUGGGUAGUUUGACUGGGGCGGUCUCCUCCUAAAGAGUAACGGAGGAGCACGAAGGUUGGCUAAUCCUGGUCGGACAUCAGGAGGUUAGUGCAAUGGCAUAAGCCAGCUUGACUGCGAGCGUGACGGCGCGAGCAGGUGCGAAAGCAGGUCAUAGUGAUCCGGUGGUUCUGAAUGGAAGGGCCAUCGCUCAACGGAUAAAAGGUACUCCGGGGAUAACAGGCUGAUACCGCCCAAGAGUUCAUAUCGACGGCGGUGUUUGGCACCUCGAUGUCGGCUCAUCACAUCCUGGGGCUGAAGUAGGUCCCAAGGGUAUGGCUGUUCGCCAUUUAAAGUGGUACGCGAGCUGGGUUUAGAACGUCGUGAGACAGUUCGGUCCCUAUCUGCCGUGGGCGCUGGAGAACUGAGGGGGGCUGCUCCUAGUACGAGAGGACCGGAGUGGACGCAUCACUGGUGUUCGGGUUGUCAUGCCAAUGGCACUGCCCGGUAGCUAAAUGCGGAAGAGAUAAGUGCUGAAAGCAUCUAAGCACGAAACUUGCCCCGAGAUGAGUUCUCCCUGAGACUUAGAGUCUCCUGAAGGAACGUUGAAGACGACGACGUUGAUAGGCCGGGUGUGUAAGCGCAGCGAUGCGUUGAGCUAACCGGUACUAAUGAACCGUGAGGCUUAACCUUACA